This 484-nucleotide long non-coding RNA is filed under the name Sorghum bicolor (sorghum). RNAcentral describes it as "long non-coding RNA (SBIC_LNC006908)". Lineage: Eukaryota; Viridiplantae; Streptophyta; Magnoliopsida; Poales; Poaceae. The record is from RNAcentral.
GUCCACCUCCCGUUAGCAGGACUGGUAGGGUUUAUCGGCCUAUGGAUAAGCAUCCUUUGUGGUGUAAUCUUAUCACGUGGUUCGUCCCAGACAUAGACAUACCCCUUUGAAGUAGAGAAACCAUAGUUAUCCUCUCUAUUCUCCUACCAUCGCCCAUAUACUAGAUUGCUCUACUCUCUAUUCCCAUAUUAUCGCCCAUUGUUAUCUUACCUUUAAUAUUGUUCUUAUUCAAUUCUACCAUCUUUCCUAUUUACACCUACCUAUCAAUCUAGGUUAAGUUAGAGCGUAGAUCAGUUCUCCCGUUUCCCUGUGGAUACGAUAAAACCUUUAACCGGGUAAAAGCUACAACAGUAUCCGUGCGCUUGCGGAUUUAUGUCUGUGCGCAUAAAUACCAUAGUACACUCUAGUGCCUUGCUAGGGAUGACAACCUAGUAUUCAAGUGGUGUUAGCAAGUGUCAACAAGUUUUUUGGCGCUAUUGCCGGG